UACGUAGGGUGCGAGCGUUGUCCGGAAUUACUGGGCGUAAAGAGCUCGUAGGUGGUUUGUCGCGUUGUUCGUGAAAUCUCACGGCUUAACUGUGAGCGUGCGGGCGAUACGGGCAGACUGGAGUACUGCAGGGGAGACUGGAAUUCCUGGUGUAGCGGUGGAAUGCGCAGAUAUCAAGAGGAACACCUGCGGCGAAGGCGGGUUGCUGGGCCUUACCUGACGCUGAGGAGCGAAAGCGUGGGGAGCGAACAGG
RNAcentral lists this ribosomal RNA (253 nucleotides) under uncultured bacterium. Its description in RNAcentral is "partial 16S ribosomal RNA". It matches the Rfam family "Bacterial small subunit ribosomal RNA", at positions 524 to 776 of the family's 1533-position model. The record is from RNAcentral.